AGCAGCCGCGGUAAUUCCAGCUCCAAUAGCGUAUAUUAAAGUUGUUGCAGUUAAAAGGCUCGUAGUUGAACUUCGGGGUUUACUCAUUGGUCAGGCUUAAUUGUCGGUACUGGUGAGAUGAAUCUCUACCUUCUGAGGAACUUUCAUGCCAUUUAUUUGGUGUGGUUGGAAAUCAGGACUGUUACUUUGAAAAAAUUAGAGUGUUUAAAGCAGGCUAACGUCUGAAUACAUUAGCAUGGAAUAAUGAAAUAGGACGGAUUGAUUCUAUUUCGUUGGUUUCUAGGGUCACCGUAAUGAUUAAUAGGGAUAGUUGGGGGCAUUAGUAUUCAAUUGUCAGAGGUGAAAUUCUUGGAUUUAUUGAAGACUAACUACUGCGAAAGCAUUUGCCAAGGAUGUUUUUCAUUAAUCAAGAACGAAAGUUAGGGGAUCGAAGACGAUCAGAUACCGUCGUAGUCUUAACCAUAAACUAUGCCGACUAGGGAUCGGACGCAGUUAAUUUUAUAAUGACGUGUUCGGCACC
Molecule: unclassified non-coding RNA, 520 nt
Filed under: uncultured Diversispora
Lineage: Eukaryota; Fungi; Glomeromycota; Glomeromycetes; Diversisporales; Diversisporaceae
Description: SSU rRNA
Rfam family: Eukaryotic small subunit ribosomal RNA
Source: RNAcentral